AUGCUACUGGUCGUUUACAGCUUACCCACCAGCCUGUGCCCCCACCGUGGAAAGUCAACACUAGGACAGAAGGCUUUAUCCACCUGCGUGUGGUCUGAGAUGGAAAACGCAGUUCACCUCACGGAGUUUGGAACUGCUUGCUACAGGGGAGUUAUCAUCUCUGUUUUACAGAUGAAACUUUUGGGAGAGCAAGAGGAGCCUUAUGUUUUAUUUGAUUAAGUGGAGGGAAGACUGGAGAGAUGGAAAAAAAUUUUAGCCAGUCAACCUAUUUUAUGUCAAAUAAACAAAGCCUUGGUGUCA
Molecule: long non-coding RNA, 300 nt
Filed under: Vulpes vulpes (red fox)
Lineage: Eukaryota; Metazoa; Chordata; Mammalia; Carnivora; Canidae
Description: lncRNA (ENSVVUG00000009781.1)
Source: RNAcentral